This is a non-coding RNA of Aedes aegypti (yellow fever mosquito), 73 nucleotides long. The record is from Rfam. NCBI's taxonomy places the organism in Eukaryota, Metazoa, Arthropoda, Insecta, Diptera, Culicidae.
CCUCUCGUGGCGUAGGGGUAACGCGUCCUAUAUGGCGAACAGGGAGUCGUUAGUUCGAUUCUCACCGAGAAGA